RNAcentral lists this ribosomal RNA (652 nucleotides) under Neorotalia calcar. Its description in RNAcentral is "eukaryotic LSU rRNA". It matches the Rfam family "Eukaryotic large subunit ribosomal RNA", at positions 656 to 1368 of the family's 3401-position model. The record is from RNAcentral. Lineage: Eukaryota; Foraminifera; Rotaliida; Rotaliidae.
GAAACACGGACCAAGGAGUUCAACUGGAUUGCGAGUCGUAGAGUUUAUUAUCACAAAGCUCCAACGGCGAAGCGAAAGCGAGAUCGUGCGAAGUGCACAGUUUAUUGUCACUGCGGCACAGGCUGAUUACGGAUAUGCGUAGAGUUUUCAACUGUGCGUAUACAUUCACUCUUUUGUGGAUGAGUGAUCAAGCCAAAGAGCACUUUAGUUGAGACCCGAAAGAUGGUGAACUAUGCUCGGACAUGGUGAAGCCAGGUGAAAACUUGGUGGAAGCUUGCGUUGUGCGGAACUGACGUGCAAAUCGUUGCCGCCUGACCUGAGUAUAGGGGCGAAAGACUCAUCGAACCAUCUAGUAGCUGGUUCCCUCCGAAGUUUCCCUCAGGAUAGCUCGAAUUUUGGAGAGAGUAACACAAGGGUAAAGCAAUGAGACGCGGUAUCUGUGGGUCUUAUUUAAAUGACCUCGGCCUUCUCUCAAACUUUAAAUCUGUGCGAGUCCCCAACUUACUUAGAUUAGAAGUUGAUUGUGGCUCGUAUCAAAAAUUCGUAGUGGGCCAUUUAUUGGUAAGCAGAACUGGCGAUGAGGGAUUCAACCUGACGUUCUCAAGAUAAGCCGGGCUUAAUCAUAUCUGCUCCAACCUUCCGAUAAACGCGA